AGGAAAAUUACUGGGGAAUAACAAUUGUGUCAUCAUGACAAACAACUGACAUAGCUGAGGCCCGUUGAAGUCCCAGAGCAACCUUGGUCCUGUAGUCAGAGAUGACUUGUGAAAAUAAAUGCAUCUGGCUCAUUGACUUGAGUUCUUGUACCCAAACUGGAAAGAUUCAGAGCCAGGGUUGAGUCCUCCUUACAGGGCGAGUUCUCUGACAAGGAAGUUUUGCAACCUAAUUUACAGCUGGAGCCAAGCUUGUCAGUGAGUGCCAGAGGGAAACUGUCGCAAUCGGCUGGCUAAGUAUGUAUUUAAUAGUGUUUAUCCAAAUGAAUUUGUGAUUUCUUCACUCUCUCCAGCAAAUAUGUUAUUUGUAAUAGCUAUCUUCUCUCAUCUAGGUGUUUGAAAAACGUCUCUAACGUGUGUGGGCUGGAAUGCAUUUUGUUUUUUCUGUAGGUAUAUUCAUUUAACAAGGGAAGUCUCCGAGGAGCUAUCAAAAACUGCUUGUCAUCUUUCCAAAUCAUCUCUGUCUGCAGUGGCCAUGUCUUAAUCCUGAAGGACAACAAGGCAAAACACUUUAUACUCUUGACAAACAAAAGUGCUAGAUUGUAGGAUCUAAGGAUGAGUCGGGGGAGCUGUGGAUACCACCGAUACCUGGAAAAUGUGUGUGAAUUAAUGAAAAGACACAGGAAAAGUAAAGAUCUGACAACCAAGGGGAUAAAUGAACAGCUCAGCACCAUCCUGGAGGGGCUCACUCAGCAGAGAGGAGGAACAAUCACUCCUAGGAUACUCUCUCAUCUGGGAUACCUUACAAUGUGUCAGAGCACCCCUGAACCCAAGGUCUUGGAUGGAUGAUUUUACUACUCAGAUGCUGAAUUGCAAGUCUCAGCAACUGAAACCCAACAGAAAAAAACUCCUGGAGAAUGGAGCACAUUAAUCAAGUAAAACUGCAGAUUAAAUCAUGUUUUUGGUGGGAAAAAACAUCUUUUAUUUAAAAACUGUUUUAUCAAACUUUCAAAAAUUGAUAAUUUAAGAAUCCAGGGCUAGACUCAGUGGCUCAUGCCUGUAAUCCCAGAACUUUGGGAGGCCGAGGCAGGCAGAUCACCUGAGGUUGAGUUUGAGACCAGCCUGGCCAACAUAGUGAAACCCGGUCUCUAUUAAAAAUACCAAAAUUAGCCAGGUGUGGUGGUGGGCGCCUGUAAUCCCAGCUACUUGGGAGGCUGAAGCAGGAGAAUUGCUUGAAGCUGGGAGGCAGAGAUUACAGUGAGCCGAGACUGCACCACCGGACUUCAGCCUGGUCAACAAGAGUGAAACUCCAUCUCACAAAACAAAAACAAAAACAAAAAAAGAAAACAAAACAAAAAAAGAAUCCAAAAGUAUUUAAGGAUCAUUAUUUAAAUAAUAAAUUUGAUGUGUAAAACUGUAGAUCUAAAAUG
This 1427-nucleotide long non-coding RNA is filed under the name Piliocolobus tephrosceles (Ugandan red Colobus). Its description in RNAcentral is "lncRNA (ENSPTEG00000027839.1)". The record is from RNAcentral. Lineage: Eukaryota; Metazoa; Chordata; Mammalia; Primates; Cercopithecidae.